This 498-nucleotide ribosomal RNA is filed under the name uncultured bacterium. RNAcentral describes it as "partial 16S ribosomal RNA". It matches the Rfam family "Bacterial small subunit ribosomal RNA", at positions 28 to 523 of the family's 1533-position model. The record is from RNAcentral.
GAUGAACGCUAGCUACAGGCUUAACACAUGCAAGUCGAGGGGUAGCAGGGUAGCAAUACCGCUGACGACCGGCGCACGGGUGAGUAACACGUAUCCAACCUUCCCAUAACUCGGGGAUAGCCUUUCGAAAGAAAGAUUAAUACCCGAUAGUACUUUUUCAAGGCAUCUUGAGAAAGUUAAAGAAUUAUUGGUUAUGGAAGGGGAUGCGUUCCAUUAGAUAGUUGGUGAGGUAACGGCACACCAAGUCUUCGAUGGAUAGGGGUUCUGGGAGGAAGGUCCCCCACAUUGGUACUGAGACACGGACCAAACUCCUACGGGAGGCAGCAGUGAGGAAUAUUGGUCAAUGGGCGAGAGCAUGAACCAGCCAAGUAGCGUGAAGGAUGAAGGUCCUAUGGAUUGUAAUCUUCUUUUAUAGUAGAAUAAAGUGACCUACGUGUAGGUUUUUGUAUGUAUACUAUGAAUAAGGAUCGGCUGACUCCGUGCCAGCCGCCGCCGUAA